Molecule: long non-coding RNA, 1575 nt
Organism: Ictalurus furcatus (blue catfish)
Lineage: Eukaryota; Metazoa; Chordata; Actinopteri; Siluriformes; Ictaluridae
Exons: 3
Source: RefSeq, a predicted model, not a curated record
UCAUGUAUGUCGCACUUUCUCUUUCACCUCUUUCCGUCUGUGCUUUCCUCUUAUUUGCCCGUCUUGUCUGUUGAUCUCUUGUUCUCUCCAUGUGUGCCUGCACACGUCUCUGAGGUGUUGCUCCUUUUUGGCAGUAUGUGCUGCCUGUAGAGCUGUGCCUCUUCUGUGUCUCCUGGGUCCGCUUGGGUGCUCUCGCUUCAGUUCAACUAAACUGCCUGCAUGUCUUUCUCCUUUACCUGGGUGGCUGAACAUAUGACAUACAUAAUUCAGCCAAGCAGACAUCAGUGAGUCAGCAGAUCCUCGUUUGUGAACGAAAUUUCACAACACAAACAACUGCCGAUUCGUUCAUUUCAUUCACAAACUGCAAGUACCAGUUUGCACAGACACAGUAGGUCUACCACUGUUGUUCAGACUCAAAAUAAGGGGUGUAUUCUUUCAAAAGCAGGAAAAACCUGCCAAAGCAGUCACAUGUUUUAUAUGGGUACGACUUAAGUGAACGAAAAUAUAUGAGUCAGUACAUGGAAGUUAACAAGAAUGAUUUGUUCACUUAAAAGAUUUGUUCAAAAACACUGAUUUGUACAUGAACAAAACAUGUACAGUGGGUUUAGGAUGCUUGUUUGGGAUCACACUGUCACUAGAACAACCGGUAAAUCCUUAAAUUAAUCUCCACUAUGAAAUUACAUACUUUUUACAGAAGUAGGUAAAAAGUGGUACUAGUGCUAGCUAAACUGCAUAACUGACCAUAGCUAGUGCUAUGGGUGCUACCAACUUUUACAUUUAUUUGCUUUUAUUCCAUGGCUUUGAAAUGAUCAAAUAUUGUUGACUGUACAAAAGCAAACUGUGUAAAUGCAAUUCAGUUCAUUCAUGUGGAACCAAUGUACACAUUUGAAUCAAGUAAAUUCAAUUAACAUUUUUUGUCAGUCUAAUGUCACAGACUAAUUUCAGGAUUUACCGGUUGUAGUGAUGACAUAGAAGUUCCAAAUGAGUGUUCCGAAUCAAUCUUUGCACUCGGACGGAUUGCUUACUGACUGACGGAUGUUAGUAGUCCUGACAGCUACCCCCUUCCCUGAGUUGAUGACCUGGUGGAAUGCCUGGAGAGAGCCCGGUAUCUCCACCUUGGACCCGAUGAAGGGCUACUGGCAAGUCACACUGACGCCAGAAGCAAAGCCAAAAACCGCUUUCAGCACUGCCAGCAGCCACUGGCAGUACCGUGUUCUCCCCUUCGGCCUCUACAGAGCACCAGUGACCUUCCAGCGCCUGAUGGACACCAUCCUAAGGCCACACUGCCAGUUCGCUUGGACGAUGUUGUCAUCCACUCCUCCACUUGGUCUGCCCACCUCUAUUACCUCGGGGAAAACCUUGGAAGCCUCUGGAAGGCCAGGCUGACGGCCAACACGAAGAAAUGCCACCUGGAGCUGAUAUAGGCUCAAUACGCCCGGCCCACAUCAAAGAAACAGACCUUACCAAGAAUGGCCAACUGGACCGGUGCAGUGGACAGAGGAAGUGGAAUGGGUGUUCCAGGCCCUCAAGCAGGCCGUCACUAGCUUGCCUGUCCUCAGAAACUCUGACUUCUCC